RNAcentral lists this transfer-messenger RNA (355 nucleotides) under Candidatus Aenigmatarchaeota. RNAcentral describes it as "B50-G16 sp003663345 Standard tmRNA". It matches the Rfam family "transfer-messenger RNA". Rfam says of the family: Bacterial tmRNA, also known as 10Sa RNA or SsrA, is named for its dual tRNA and mRNA-like properties. Its role is to liberate the mRNA from a stalled ribosome. To accomplish this part of the tmRNA is used as a reading frame that ends in a translation stop signal. RNAcentral also lists the same sequence under 1 other name. Lineage: Archaea; Nanobdellati. The record is from RNAcentral.
GGGGGCGAAAGGUCUCGACGGGGUUGAUGGAGAUGGAGGUGGCGUGCCGAGGUCCCCGGCGGCCUCGUAAAAAAGCCGGGAAGCUACAACUGACAACUACGAUUACGCUCUGGCUGCUUAAUUGAGGCAGCCCGUCCGCCCCGCCGGGCCCGCACGGCGGGAUACGGGCGUCGGAACUGCGGGAUAGCCCAAAGCCCCUCCGCCUGCGGGGGCUCGGGUGAAGACUCAAGCAGGCUGGCGUCCGGAGGUCCUGCCCAUCGGAGCUUCGGACGUGAGAACGAAAGAUGGGCUAUGCACGUAGAAGCCUCCGUCGAAGCAAUCCCGGACGCGGGUUCGAUUCCCGCCGCCUCCACCA